Molecule: long non-coding RNA, 3121 nt
Organism: Microtus oregoni (creeping vole)
Lineage: Eukaryota; Metazoa; Chordata; Mammalia; Rodentia; Cricetidae
Exons: 3
Source: RefSeq, a predicted model, not a curated record
GGCUUCCGUCCCGGGCUGCUGGACAAGUGGGUGGCGUUGACCAAGGCACUGGGCCCACACGGGCCGCACCCUGCGUGAUCCGUUGUCUCCAAGCAGGCUGCCCCACUUACGAGGAACCUUUGAUCCUGACCACUGCCUGCCCACCCCAAAAGAGCCUAGUGCCUGGAAGGAGAGGGACAGGAACACUUGGGUGGAUUCCACCGCCUGGCCAUGUCUAGAAUCCCAGAGGCCAUGGCUCUGAGGAGGCUGGGCUCAGCGGCCAGAACACUCACUGACUGCUCCAUCUCUCCCAUUGGCAUGGACAGAGCAUGUUCACAGGCUGGGAGUUCCCUCCAUGGCGGGCUGCAGGGUCACCAUGUGACACACAGGACACACCUGCCACAACUGCAAGGCAGGGCUGCUCCCAAAGGACCACGCGCAAGUCCGGUCUCUGUCGUGACUUGGUUCCAGAAGAGGCUGCACCCGACAACGCUCUGUUAAAGAUGUGUCUGUGUAGCUCUAUGCCUGGAGACGCUAUUGCAGUGUGUGUGAUAACAAAAGCCGGCUGUGACCUUAACAGUCAAGAGCCCAGGACGGGAACCCAAGGCAGAUCACGUUUACAUAACAGAAUGCAUUGUGGUGGUGAAAAAAUGACAUUCCUGCAGGAUUUUUAAUAUUGUAGAGAAGUGUCUAUGGUGUAAGGUCAUGUGAAACCCAGGACAUCUGCAGAUAUGUGUGUUCAGGUAGCUUCAACUAGGAGCAGUGUGGUCAAAGCUAAUAGUGAACCCUGUACGAAUCCACUGUAUUUAAACACGUGGAGAGAGAAAACAGGACAGGUUGGGGCGAUGACUCAAUUGGUGGUGUGCUUGCUGUACAAACCUGAGGUCCUGAGUUCAGUUCCCAAAACCACAUGAGAAAGCCAGGGGUGAUAUCAUGUGCUUGCAAUUCUCGACACCAAAGAACACAGGCAGAUCCCCCAGCUCAAGAGCAGCUGGCCUAGAAAACUUGUCAGGUUCUAGGCCAGUAAGAGUCCCUGUCUUAAUGUUGUCCUCCAGCCUCCGUAUGCAUGUACACACGAGUUACCCGAGGAAGGUGGGGAGAUUGCACAGACAUGCUUAUACACAUGCAAACACUUUUCAGAGUGUAAUAGAGAUGGUUCAGUGAAGCACUUGCUGCUCUAGCAGAGGACCAGAGUUUGAUUUCCAGUACUCGUGUUGGAAAGCUCACAGUCACCUGUUACUCCGUUCUGGGGGAUCUGAUCCCAUUCUGGCCUCUUUGCAUACCCACAUGUACACGCAUAAACACACACAUAAACAAACAUCUUUUUUAAAAAAAUUUAAAAAAAAUCUGGAACGACAAUAGAAAAAAAUUGAACCUUUAUUCUUGGGAUUGUGGACUUUAGUGAAUUUAUCUAUUAAUUUACUGUUCUUUGAGGCAGGGUCUCACUAUGUAGCUCUGGCCAGGCUGGAGCUCCAUGUAGACCUGACUCUGGCCUUCAUCUUUUGGCAGUCCUCCUGCUUUGGCCUCCUGAGUGCUGGGAUUACAGUUGUAUGUCACUGCGCUCAGCUGAGUUUACUUAUUUUCUAACUUUACUUUAUUCCGUGUGUGUGUGUGUGUGUGUGUGCUGCUGAGGCUAGAUGAGUCCCUGGCUGCCUCCCUCAUUGGCCCCUGGUCCCUGCCACAUCCCGGCAGUCCACGAUGGUGGCUAGUUAACUGGGAUCUGCGGACAGAGGAGGUGGAGGGCUAUAUCUGGGGCCUCAGCAAAGCAGACCCCACCAGAGGAGAUGGCCUGGUGUCCUCACUGGGUAUAAUGACCUGAUGGCAAUUAAAGGCCAGCAGGGACUCCUCCCUCCAAGAAGGAUGGAUGGGAAAGGGGAGGGGCUCCCCUGGGGCUACGAAUGCUUAGAUGCUGCCACUGACAAGCUGAGCUAUCCAUAGCCCUGAGCACAAUAUGGUCAUUAACCCCUGACCCUGGCCCCUACUUAGCCACUUCCUCUGCAGGAGGAGGAGGGAGGGAUUCCAUCAUGAUGCUCUUUUUAGUGAGGUUUGGGGGGUCACAGCUCACUUGCUCUCUGUAGGCGCCUCUGGAACUCAGGUCUCAGGCUCUCUAGCUCCACAGCUAUUUCAGAUUAGAGCAGGAGAGAGCAUCUCACUCUUUGGCACCCUCAGGAGCAUUCAUGGGCCAAGUGCUUCAAGCCAGAGUAGUGUGAGAGGAAGGAAUGGACAGAGACAGACAGGGAGGCCUAGAUAAAGGCUGCCCUUGUCCCCUCCACGCAUGUUCAAAGGCACACAGAGAACAAGCCUGCUAGGAAAUGGGUCCUACUCAAACAUUAAUGCAUUAACACUCCUAAAUAGGCCCCAGCAGCACAGCCCCAGCCAGGCAGAAUAACUGGUACAUAUCCUAGAAACGCAAGCCUGGCGGAAUACUUGGAAUCUGUCUACACAACUCAGCAGUGACUGGGCGAGCUUAGGAGACAGUCCCAAGGCCAUCUCAGCCCUGGAGACACAUUUCAGCAGCUCCCUGGGGUGAAUGGUCUUAGACCCACAGGGUCAGGGUGGGGAAGGAGCCUCAGAGCUAAGGAAGAUCAUUGCUGAAGCCCAGCACAGUUUCCAAAGGGGCGGGAGACCCAUCCCUUAAAAUCAGCCUCGCUGCAUUCGCCACUCAUCCGCGCGUCUGCUCGUUUUGUAUCCGAGCUCCCAGCCAAGGCCGGUGGCUGUACAGGAAACUUCCAGAUAAAGCAGUGUAGGGGUUGGGAGGGAGGAUGCGAAGUGACAUUAAAGAGCCACAGUGGCCUACACAAAACUCCAAAGUAAUCCACAGGCAAAUAACGAGAAAAUGAAAUUUACCCAGGAGACACAUCCAUCCAAACAGUAUAAGAGACUAAUGCUGGCUGGAAAGAUGACUCAGCAUGUAAGUGCUUCUACUUCAGGGCCCGCUGACCUGCGUUCAGACCCCAGAAUACAAAUGGUAGAAGAGAAAAGACUCUCAUGGCUUACCCUUUGACCUCCAAACCUGGGCCUGUGCAUGCUUAAGUGCUUGUGCACACACACGGACACACACACACAUGCACACGGACACACACACACAUGCACACGGACACACACACACACACACAUGCACACGGACACACACACACAUGCA